RNAcentral lists this ribosomal RNA (460 nucleotides) under uncultured bacterium. RNAcentral's name for it is "partial 16S ribosomal RNA". It matches the Rfam family "Bacterial small subunit ribosomal RNA", at positions 338 to 795 of the family's 1533-position model. The record is from RNAcentral.
CCUACGGGUGGCAGCAGUGAGGAAUAUUGGUCAAUGGACGAGAGUCUGAACCAGCCAAGUCGCGUGCAGGAUGACUGCCCUAUGGGUUGUAAACUUCUUUUAUCUGGGAAUAAAUUGUUCCACGUGUGGGAUUUUGUAUGUACCAUAUGAAUAAGGAUCGGCUAACUCCGGGCCAGCAGCCGCGGUAAUACGGAGGAUCCGAGCGUUGUCCGGAUUUGUUGGGGUUAAAGGGCGCGUAGGUGGGUUGUUAAGUCAGUUGUGAAAGUUUGGGGCUCAACCGUAAAAUUGCAGUUGACACUGGCAGUCUUGAGUACAGUAGAGGUAGGCGGAAUUCGUGGUGUAGCGGUGAAAUGCUUAGAUAUCACGAAGAACUCCGAUUGCGAAGGCAGCUCACUGGACUGCAACUGACACUGAGGCUCGAAAGUGUGGGUAUCAAACAGGAUUAGAUACCCGAGUAGUC